Molecule: unclassified non-coding RNA, 329 nt
Filed under: soil metagenome
Description: partial contains 5.8S ribosomal RNA, internal transcribed spacer 2, and large subunit ribosomal RNA
Rfam family: 5.8S ribosomal RNA (bases 1-120)
Source: RNAcentral
GAUGAAGAACGUAGUGAAAUGCGAUAAGUAGUGUGAAUUGCAGAAUUCAGUGAAUCAUCGAAUCUUUGAACGCACAUUGCGCCCCUUGGUAUCCCGAGGGGCAUGCCUGUUCGAGCGUCAUUUCACCACUCAAGCCUGGCUUGGUGUUGGGCGACGUCCUCUUUGGGGACGCGCCUCGAAACGCUCGGCGGCGUGGCACCGGCUUUAAGCGUAGCAGAAUCUUUCGCUUUGGAAGUCGGGGCCCCGUCUGCCGGAAGACCUGCUCGCAAGGUUGACCUCGGAUCAGGCAGGGAUACCCGCUGAACUUAAGCAUAUCAAUAAGCGGAGGA